Molecule: ribosomal RNA, 253 nt
Filed under: uncultured bacterium
Lineage: Bacteria
Description: partial 16S ribosomal RNA
Rfam family: Bacterial small subunit ribosomal RNA
Source: RNAcentral
UACGUAGGGGGCAAGCGUUGUCCGGAAUCAUUGGGCGUAAAGCGCGCGUAGGCGGCCCGGUAAGUCCGCUGUAAAAGUCCAGGGCUCAACCCUGGAAAGCCGGUGGAUACUGUCGGGCUAGAGUCCGGAAGAGGCGAGUGGAAUUCCUGGUGUAGCGGUGAAAUGCGCAGAUAUCAGGAGGAACACCAAUUGCGAAGGCAGCUCGCUGGGACGUUACUGACGCUGAGACGCGAAAGCGUGGGGAGCAAACAGG